CCUACCAGUUCCUGUAUGAUCACUGAAGUUAAGCAACAUUGAAUCUGAUCAGUACUUAGAUGGGUGACCACUUUGGAAUACCAGGUGCUGUAAG
This is a non-coding RNA of Acanthosepion pharaonis, 94 nucleotides long. The record is from the annotation of a GenBank genome assembly. NCBI's taxonomy places the organism in Eukaryota, Metazoa, Mollusca, Cephalopoda, Sepiida, Sepiidae.